Molecule: ribosomal RNA, 234 nt
Filed under: uncultured bacterium
Lineage: Bacteria
Description: partial 16S ribosomal RNA
Rfam family: Bacterial small subunit ribosomal RNA
Source: RNAcentral
GCAAGUCGAACGAGAAAGGGGAGCAAUCCCUGAGUAAAGUGGCGUACGGGUGAGUAACACGUGGGUAAUCUACCUCUGGGUGGGGAAUAACCCUGGGAAACCGGGGCUAAUACCGCAUAACACUGAAAGGUCAAAGGCGCAAGUCGCCUGGAGAGGAGCCCGCGGCUGAUUAGCUAGUUGGUGGGGUAAAGGCUCACCAAGGCAAUGAUCGGUAGCCGGCCUGAGAGGGCACAC